GUACCCCUACGGGGCGCAGCAGUGGGGAAUAUUGCACAAUGGGGGGAACCCUGAUGCAGCAAUGCCGCGUGGGUGAAGAAGCACUCCGGUGCGUAAAGCCCUGUCAGCAGGGAAGAAAAUGACAGUACCUGGACAAGAAGCCCCGGCUAACUACGUGCCAGCAGCCGCGGUAAUACGUAGGGGGCAAGCGUUAUCCGGAUUUACUGGGUGUAAAGGGAGCGCAGGCGGUCUGUUAAGUCAGCGGUCAAAGCCCGGGGCUCAACCCCGGCCCGCCGUUGAAACUGGCAGUCUCGAGUUGGAGAGAA
This 305-nucleotide ribosomal RNA is filed under the name uncultured bacterium. RNAcentral's name for it is "bacterial SSU rRNA". It matches the Rfam family "Bacterial small subunit ribosomal RNA", at positions 333 to 656 of the family's 1533-position model. The record is from RNAcentral.